GCAACUCGCCUACAUGAAGUCGGAAUUGCUAGUAAUCGCGGAUCAGCAUGCCGCGGUGAAUACGUUCCCGGGCCUUGUACACACCGCCCGUCACACCCAUGGGAGUCGGUAACACCCGAAGCCUGUAGUCUAACCGCAAGGGGGACGCAGUCGAAGGUGGGAUUGAUGACUGGGGUGAAGUCGUAACAAGGUAUC
RNAcentral lists this ribosomal RNA (195 nucleotides) under uncultured bacterium. Its description in RNAcentral is "partial 16S ribosomal RNA". It matches the Rfam family "Bacterial small subunit ribosomal RNA", at positions 1307 to 1500 of the family's 1533-position model. The record is from RNAcentral.